UGGGGAAUUUUGGACAAUGGGCGAAAGCCUGNUCCAGCCAUGCCGCGUGCAGGAUGAAGGCCUUCGGGUUGUAAACUGCUUUUUGUACGGAACGAAAAGCCUCUUUCUAAUAAAGAGGGGUCAUGACGGUACCGUAAGAAUAAGCACCGGCUAACUACGUGCCAGCAGCCGCGGUAAUACGUAGGGUGCAAGCGUUAAUCGAAUUACUGGGCGUAAAGCGUGCGCAGGCGGUUUUGUAAGACAGAGGUGAAAUCCCCGGGCUCAACCUGGGAACUGCCUUUGUGACUGCAAGGCUGGAGUGCGGCAGAGGGGGGAUGGAAUUCCGCGUGUAGCANUGAAAUGGCGUAGAUAUGCGGAGGAACACCGAUGGCGAAGGCAAUCCCCUGGGCU
RNAcentral lists this ribosomal RNA (390 nucleotides) under uncultured bacterium. RNAcentral's name for it is "partial 16S ribosomal RNA". It matches the Rfam family "Bacterial small subunit ribosomal RNA", at positions 355 to 735 of the family's 1533-position model. The record is from RNAcentral.